This is a long non-coding RNA of Lontra canadensis (Northern American river otter), 754 nucleotides long. RefSeq lists it as uncharacterized. The transcript has 3 exons. Lineage: Eukaryota; Metazoa; Chordata; Mammalia; Carnivora; Mustelidae. The record is from RefSeq and is a predicted model, not a curated record.
CAUUUGUGCUAAAUUGCCCAGUGCUGGUGUGAUAACUGUCAAAAGUUUGACAUCAAAGGAACUAAUAUUAUUCAGUUACCAGAGAAGCUGUCUGUCUAAAUAAGAAUAUCUUAAUUACUGCAUCACAAAGAUUAGGCGGUGGAGUCCUCUCCGUCAAUGAAGGGACUAAGGUUUCGUGGACAAUAAUGUGGCAAUUGUUGAUGGUUUGUGACCCAUAAAAUGUGGAGGUGACUGUUCUGGCUUUGGGCCCCCAUCCCGCCUGGAUCGGUGCCCCCCCACACCCAGAACCACUCAGCAUCCGGCUCUGCAGCCUCGCCGCCCAGCACACAGUGACACUGCAGCGUGAGCCCCGCAGAAGCCGGCGAGAGGGGAUUUUUCAAGGGGGAAAUAAUGAUUAAAAGAGAGAAUCAUCUAAAUAUCAAAGUGACGCAUGGGAGACCUGGAAAAAAUAUUUAAUCUAAGGAAAAGCAAAUAAAGAAGGAGGCGCUUAGGCUGGGAAAUUAAAUAUUAUGUUUAAGAUGGUGCUUUUGUGCGGGCUUGAAUAUUUCCGAUUCAUGUACACAUAAUAAACACUCAGGUUUGUCAUCUGGAGGUGCAAAUCUGAAAGAUAUUCCAACAAAUGAAGUGCUGGCAGAGAGAGGAAUAAAGAGAUCGGCGCCUGUCAGGGGUCAGGCAGCCUGAGAUUGCUUCUAGAGAUCUUUUGAAAAUUUCACACGAUUGAAGGCUUAGGGGCUUCACUGCGCCCGCAUUUCAA